UUGAUCCUACGGGGGGCAGCAGUGAGGAAUAUUGGUCAAUGGGCGCGAGCCUGAACCAGCCAAGUCGCGUGAGGGAUGACGGUCCUACGGAUUGUAAACCUCUUUUGCCGGGGAGCAAGCGUGCGUUCGUGAACGCGCGUCGAGAGUACCCGGAGAAAAAGCAUCGGCUAACUCCGUGCCAGCAGCCGCGGUAAUACGGAGGAUGCGAGCGUUAUCCGGAUUUAUUGGGUUUAAAGGGUGCGCAGGCGGAAGAUCAAGUCAGCGGUAAAAUUGAGAGGCUCAACCUCUUCGAGCCGUUGAAACUG
Molecule: ribosomal RNA, 305 nt
Filed under: uncultured bacterium
Lineage: Bacteria
Description: bacterial SSU rRNA
Rfam family: Bacterial small subunit ribosomal RNA
Source: RNAcentral